GGACUUGAGGAUAAUUUGUCUGUGAAAUCUGUCACCUCAUUGAUUGCUGGGGUUGAUUUGGUGGAUCUAGCUGGCUAGACAGGUACACCUGUCCUCUGUUAUCACUCCAUAUGGGUCCCUCCCGAAGAGGCACUCUUGGUGAAAGAGGACAACCUUCCCCAGUAGAAGGGGACCCUGCUUUGUAAAGGAUAUACAAGUAGCUGUGCUCCCCUGGCAGGACCUCCAAAUAAGAACAUCUGCAGAGAAAUAUAAACAGAGACCACCACCCCCAGGGAGGUGUGGAGGCAAGGGUAGUACAGCCUCAUCCAAGACAGGGCCUAAACUCAGUUCUCUGUAUU
This is an unclassified non-coding RNA of Fukomys damarensis (Damara mole-rat), 338 nucleotides long. Its record names the gene 7SK. It matches the Rfam family "7SK RNA". Rfam says of the family: 7SK was discovered as an abundant small nuclear RNA in the mid-70s but a possible function has only recently been suggested. NCBI's taxonomy places the organism in Eukaryota, Metazoa, Chordata, Mammalia, Rodentia, Bathyergidae. The record is from Ensembl.